This is a long non-coding RNA of Sphaeramia orbicularis (orbiculate cardinalfish), 191 nucleotides long. RefSeq lists it as uncharacterized. Lineage: Eukaryota; Metazoa; Chordata; Actinopteri; Kurtiformes; Apogonidae. The transcript is spliced from 3 exons. The record is from RefSeq and is a predicted model, not a curated record.
UAUAUUCAAACAGUAGGUUUUAAUAUACAAUUUGGAUUUUUGGGUGAAAUCCGAUCUUUUUGUGGGCUCGUUCAUAUUACAAAUUAAAUGCGACUUCUAUCAGUUUUGAGUAUGAACUGAAUGUGACCCUGAAGUGACCCACAGGCAUAAAAGAGGUUCUGAUUUCAUACUUGACACACACACACACACAC